This 69-nucleotide transfer RNA is filed under the name Crocuta crocuta (spotted hyena). RNAcentral's name for it is "tRNA-Ala". It matches the Rfam family "tRNA". From Rfam's summary of the family: Transfer RNA (tRNA) molecules are approximately 80 nucleotides in length. Their secondary structure includes four short double-helical elements and three loops (D, anti-codon, and T loops). Further hydrogen bonds mediate the characteristic L-shaped molecular structure. tRNAs have two regions of fundamental functional importance: the anti-codon, which is responsible for specific mRNA codon recognition, and the 3' end, to which the tRNAs corresponding amino acid is attached (by aminoacyl-tRNA synthetases). tRNAs cope with the degeneracy of the genetic code in two manners: having more than one tRNA (with a specific anti-codon) for a particular amino acid; and 'wobble' base-pairing, i.e. permitting non-standard base-pairing at the 3rd anti-codon position. The record is from RNAcentral. Lineage: Eukaryota; Metazoa; Chordata; Mammalia; Carnivora; Hyaenidae.
AAGGGCUUAGCUUAAUUAAAGUGGUUGAUUUGCAGUCAAUUGAUGNGAGAUAGGUUCUUGCAGUCCUUA